This 656-nucleotide long non-coding RNA is filed under the name Monodelphis domestica (gray short-tailed opossum). RNAcentral describes it as "lncRNA (ENSMODG00000044829.1)". Lineage: Eukaryota; Metazoa; Chordata; Mammalia; Didelphimorphia; Didelphidae. The record is from RNAcentral.
AAUAGGAAAUAGCCACUAAGUAGGACAACUGUGAACAGGACUUCUGUGGGAGGAGGGCGGUAUGGGGAACACUGCCUUAAUUCCAAAGAUUCUGUAGUGAAUAUGGUCAAUCUCUUCCACAGUCUCUUGGAUUGAAGGUACCUGUUCUCAGAUCCAAAGCUAAGAAGGACUCUGAGCCAUGUUCAGUUUUAGCUUAGGCCAUAGGCUUAUAGCCACAACCCUAGCCUUCUAGCUAUAAAACUAUCCUCCUAGGACUUAGACUUGGAAACCACUGAGAAAUCCAGGAACAAUAUUUGCCAGUGAAGACAGAUGAACAAUUUAUCAAAAAUUUCCUUCUUCUACUUUCAAGAAAAAGUAUGUAGUAACAAAAGGAGCAAAAACUAUGAUCCUCCUGAACCUUUCCCAAUAGAAGAGGGUCAUGGGAGGUGAAGAUAUGAAUCUGAGGAAGAGCUGGCACCCACAAACCUCCCAAAAUGUGGAGAAAAAGUAUGGAAGGCUGAGCUGAUGUGGAAUGGAAAAAGAUUGAGGAGCUGCAGUGGGAGCUUCAGGAAGAGAGGGCAAGGGAGGAGAUGCAAUGCUAUGCACAGGAUGUGAGAGCUGUCAAAAAAAAAAAAAGAAAAAAGAAAAUGAAAACUGGAAUGGAUGUACCGGGGGCU